UUGCAGAUCCUCUCUGCGCAGAGCUGGCCGUGCCACUGGCCCGGCCGAAAAGAAACGUUGCGGACGAAGCGAACUACAUCGGGACGCUUUGGCCGCCGAGCGAAAAAAAAACACCAUUGAGCUCGACCUCAGAUCAGGUAGGAGUACCCGCUGAACUUAAGCAUAUCAAUAAGCGGAGGAAAAGAAACCAACAGGAUUGCCCCAGUAGCGGCGAGUGAAGCGGCAAGAGCUCAGAUUUGAAAUCGUGCUAAUUUUUUUGGCACGAGUUGUAGAGUGUAGGCGGGAGUCUUUGUGGAGCACGGUGUCCAAGUCCCUUGGAACAGGGCGCCUGAGAGGGUGAGAGCCCCGUGGGGUGCCGUGCGAAGCUCUGAGGCCCUGCUGACGAGUCGAGUUGUUUGGGAAUGCAGCUCCAAGUGGGUGGUAAAUUCCAUCUAAGGCUAAAUACUGGCGAGAGACCGAUAGCGAACAAGUACUGUGAAGGAAAGAUGAAAAGCACUUUGAAAAGAGAGUGAAACAGCACGUGAAAUUGUUGAAAGGGAAGGGUAUUGGGCCCGACAUGGGGAGUGCGCACCGCUGUCUCUUGUAGGCGGCGCUCUGGGCGCUCUCUGGGCCAGCAUCGGUUCUUGCUGCGGGAGAAUGGGUGCCGGAAAGUGGCUCUUCGGAGUGUUAUAGCCGGCGCCAGAUACCGCGUGCGGGGACCGAGGACUGCGGCUUCUGUCUCGGAUGCUGGCACAACGGCGCAAUACCGCCCGUCUUGAAACAUGGACCAAGGAGUCUAACGUCUAUGCGAGUGUUUGGGUGUA
RNAcentral lists this ribosomal RNA (803 nucleotides) under Pichia membranifaciens. RNAcentral's name for it is "LSU rRNA". The stretch from base 124 to 803 matches the Rfam family "Eukaryotic large subunit ribosomal RNA", at positions 1 to 702 of the family's 3401-position model. The record is from RNAcentral. Lineage: Eukaryota; Fungi; Ascomycota; Pichiomycetes; Pichiales; Pichiaceae.